Molecule: ribosomal RNA, 1326 nt
Filed under: uncultured organism
Description: bacterial SSU rRNA
Rfam family: Bacterial small subunit ribosomal RNA
Source: RNAcentral
GAUUCGUCUGGGGGGGAGAGUGGCGAACUGGUGAGUAACACGUGGGUGACCUGCCCCGAAGACGGGGAUAACCGUUGGAAACGACGGCUAAUACCCGAUAUACUCGGUGAUUCGGUUCAUCGAGUAAAGGCUCCGGUGCUUCGGGAUGGGCCUGCGCCCUAUCAGCUAUAUGGUGGGGUAAUGGCCCACCAAGGCGAAGACGGGUAGGGGGCGUGAGAGCGCGGCCCCCCACACUGGCACUGAGAUACGGGCCAGACUUCUACGGAAGGCAGCAGUCGGGGAUAUUGCACAAUCGGCGAAAGCCGGAUGCAGCGACGCCGCGUGGGCGAUGAAGGCCUUCGGGUUGUAAAGCCCUUUUAUGGGGGAAGAGACAAGGACGGUACCCCAAGAAUAAGCGUCGGGUAACUACGUGCCAGCAGCCGCGGUAAAAACGUAGGACGCAAGCGUUAUCCCGGAUUUAACUGGGCGGUAAAAGAGCGUUGAGGCGGUUCCGUAAGUUGGGCGUGAAAGCCCCCGGGCUUAACCCGGGGAGGGUCGUCCAAUACUGCCGGGACUUGAAGGGCAGCAGAGGGAGGCGGAAUUCCCGGUGUAGCGGUGAAAUGCGGUAGAUAUCGGGGGAGGGAAACACCAGUGGCGAAGGCGGGCCUCCUGGGGCUGUUUCUGACGCUGAAGGCCGUAAGCUAGGGGAGCGAACGGGAUUUAGAAACCCCGGUAGUUCUAGCCGUAAAACGAUGGGUUGCUGGGUGUGCGGGGUAUAGAUCCCCUCCGUGCCGAAAGCUAACGCGUUAAGCAUCCCGCCUGGGGAUUACGGGAGGCAAGGUUUAAACUCAAAACGAAUUUGACGGGGCCCGGCACAAGCACCGGAGCGUGUGGUUUAAUUCGAUGCUACACGAAGAACCUUACCUGGGCUUGACAUGUAGGUAGUAGUGAAGCGAAAGCGGAACGACCCUUCGGGGAGCCUACACAGGUGCUGCAUGGCUGUCGUCAGUUCGUGCCGUGAGGUGUCGGGUUAAGUCCCGUAACGAACGCAACCCUUGCCCUUAGUUACAUGUGUCUAAGGGGACUGCCCGGGACAACUGGGAGGAAGGUGGGGAUGACGUCAAGUCAGCAUGGCCUUUAUGUCCAGGGCUACACACACGCUACAAUGGCCGGUACAAUGGGUCGCCAAGCCGUGAGGCGGAGCCAAUCCCCCAAAGCCGGUCUAAGUUCGGAUUGUGGGCUGCAACUCGCCCAUAUGAAGCUGGAGUUGCUAGUAACCGCGCGUCAGCAAUAGUGCGGUGAAUACGUUCCCGGGCCUUGUACACACCGCCCGUCACGUCAUGGAAG